Molecule: ribosomal RNA, 338 nt
Filed under: Hyperoscelis veternosa
Lineage: Eukaryota; Metazoa; Arthropoda; Insecta; Diptera; Canthyloscelidae
Description: partial 16S ribosomal RNA
Source: RNAcentral
UUUUUUAAUUAAAGGCUUGUAUGAAUGGUUAAAUGAGGUGUAUACUGUUUCAUAAAAAAUUAUUGAAUUUUUUUUUUUAGUAAAAAAACUAAAAUUUUUUAGAAAGACGAGAAGACCCUAUAGAUCUUUAUAAAAUUAUAAUUUUUAAAUAUUAUUUAAUUUUAUUUUUAAGUUAUUAUUUUAUUUUAUUGGGGUGAUAAUUAUAUUUUUUUAACUAUUUAUUAAAUUAUUCAAUAAUUAUUGAUUUUUUGAUCCAUUUUUAAUGAUUAAUAAAUUAAGUUACCUUAGGGAUAACAGCGUAAUAUUUUUUAAAAGUUCUUAUUAUAGAAAAAGAUUGC